CAAAGGAAUUGACGGGGCCGCACAAGCGGUGGAGCAUGUGGUUAAUUCGACGCAACGCGAAGAACCUUACCAGGGCUUGACAUCCCCUGACCGCGUAUGAAAGUACGUUUUCACCCUCGGGUGACAGGGAGACAGGUGGUGCAUGGGUUGUCGUCAGCUCGUGUCGUGAGAUGUUGGGUUAAGUCCCGCAACGAGCGCAACCCCUACGUUUAGUUGCUAACAGGUGAAGCUGAGCACUCUAGACGAACUGCCGUUGACAAAACGGAGGAAGGUGGGGAUGACGUCAAAUCAUCAUGCCCCUUAUGUUCUGGGCUACACACGUGCUACAAUGGCCGGUACAGACGGAGGCGAAGCCGCGAGGCGGAGCAAAUCCGAAAAAGCCGGUCUCAGUUCGGAUUGCAGGCUGCAAUUCGCCUGCAUGAAGUCGGAAUCGCUAGUAAUCGCAGGUCAGCAUACUCGCGGUCGAAUACGUUCCGGGCCUU
Molecule: ribosomal RNA, 482 nt
Filed under: uncultured Pelotomaculum sp.
Lineage: Bacteria; Bacillati; Bacillota; Clostridia; Eubacteriales; Desulfotomaculaceae
Description: bacterial SSU rRNA
Rfam family: Bacterial small subunit ribosomal RNA
Source: RNAcentral